AGACUGAACCAGCCAUGCCGCGUGCAGGAUGAAGGUUCUAUGGAAUCGUAAACUGCUUUUCUAAGGGAAGAAACCUCCGACGUGAGGGUAGUUGCCGGUACUUUAGGAAUAAGCAUCGGCUAACUCCGUGCCAGCAGCCGCGGUAAUA
Molecule: ribosomal RNA, 148 nt
Filed under: uncultured bacterium
Lineage: Bacteria
Description: partial 16S ribosomal RNA
Rfam family: Bacterial small subunit ribosomal RNA
Source: RNAcentral